This 403-nucleotide ribosomal RNA is filed under the name Verrucomicrobiota bacterium. RNAcentral's name for it is "Verrucomicrobia bacterium partial 16S ribosomal RNA". It matches the Rfam family "Bacterial small subunit ribosomal RNA", at positions 355 to 776 of the family's 1533-position model. The record is from RNAcentral. Lineage: Bacteria; Pseudomonadati; Verrucomicrobiota.
UGGGGAAUAUUGCACAAUGGGGGAAACCCUGAUGCAGCGACGCCGCGUGAGCGAAGAAGGUUUUCGAAUCGUAAAGCUCUGUCCUAUGAGAAGAUAAUGACGGUAUCAUAGGAGGAAGCCCCGGCUAAAUACGUGCCAGCAGCCGCGGUAAUACGUAUGGGGCGAGCGUUGUCCGGAAUUAUUGGGCGUAAAGGGUACGUAGGCGGUCUAUUAAGUCAGGUGUGAAAGCGUGAGGCUUAACCUCAUUAAGCACUUGAAACUGAUAGACUUGAGUGAAGGAGAGGAAAGUGGAAUUCCUAGUGUAGCGGUGAAAUGCGUAGAUAUUAGGAGGAAUACCGGUGGCGAAGGCGACGUUCUGGACUUUUACUGACGCUCAGGUACGAAAGCGUGGGGAGCAAACAGG